RNAcentral lists this ribosomal RNA (1499 nucleotides) under metagenome. Its description in RNAcentral is "bacterial SSU rRNA". It matches the Rfam family "Bacterial small subunit ribosomal RNA". The record is from RNAcentral.
AGAGUUUGAUCCUGGCUCAGAACGAACGCUGGCGGCGUGGCUAAGACAUGCAAGUCGAAGGCGUUACGUGUUUGAUUUAUCACUCACGUGAUGACUGGCGAACGGGUGAGUAAUGGCUGGGUAACGUACCCUGGGCUCCGGAAUAGCGCUCUGAAAAGUGUGAUAAUACCGGAUAACGUCAUUGGUCGAUAGACUGAUGACCAAAGAUUUAUCGGCCUGGGAGCGGCCUGGUUCCUAUCAGCUUGUUGGUGAGGUAAAAGCUCACCAAGGCUAUGACGGGUAGCGGGACUGAGAGGUCGAUCCGCCACAUCGGGACUGAGACACUGCCCGGACCCCCACGGGGGGCUGCAGUAACGAAUAUUGGGCAAUGGGCGAAAGCCUGACCCAGCGACGCCGCGUGCGGGAAGAAGUCUUUCGGGAUGUAAACCGCUGUCAAGGUUAAGAAAAUUCCGAUCCGUCGGAACUGAUCUGACCCUGAGGAAGUCACGGCUAACUUCGUGCCAGCAGCCGCGGUAAAACGAAGGUGGCAAGCGUUGUUCGGUAUCACUGGGCUUAAAGAGUGUGUAGGCGGGACGGAAAGUGUCACGUGAAAUCCCUCGGCUUAACCGAGGAAUGGCGUGGCAAACUAUCGUCCUUGAGGCAAGUAGGGGUGCGUGGAACUCUUGGUGGAGCGGUGGAAUGCGUAGAUAUCAAGAGGAACGCCAGCGGCGAAGGCGACGCACUGGGCUUGUACUGACGCUGAGACACGAAAGCGUGGGGAGCGAACGGGAUUAGAUACCCCGGUAGUCCACGCCGUAAACGAUGCCUACUAGGUGGUGGGAGUUCUGACACUGUCACUGCCGAAGCAAAAGUGAUUAGUAGGCCGCCUGGGGAGUACGGUCGCAAGGCUAAAACUCAAAGGAAUUGACGGGGGCUCACACAAGCGGUGGAGCAUGUGGAUUAAUUCGAAGCAACGCGUAGAACCUUACCUGGGUUUGACAUGCUUGGAUGCCAACCGGGAAACCGGGGAAGCUGCCUUCGGGUGAAACUUGCACAGGUGCUGCAUGGCUGUCGUCAGCUCGUGUCGUGAGAUGUCGGGUUAAGUCCCUCAACGAGCGAAACCCUUGCCGUUAGUUGCCAGCGGGUAAUGCCGGGGACUCUAGCGGGACUGCCGGUGACAAACCGGAGGAAGGUGGGGACGACGUCAAGUCAUCAUGGCCUUUAUGCCCAGGGCUUCACACGUGCUACAAUGGCAAUUACAAUGCGACGCAAUAUCGUGAGAUGGAGCAAAUCGCAAAAAAGUUGCCCCAGUUCGGAUUGAAGGCUGGCAAUUCGCCUUCAUGAAGUCGGAAUCGCUAGUAAUCGCGUAUCAGCAAUGACGCGGUGAAUAUGUUCCUGAGCCUUGUACACACCGCCCGUCAAGUGAUGGGAGUUGGGAGUACCUGAAGUCGGUUUGCUAACUUUCGAGAAGCGGCCGCCCACGGUAAACCUGAUGACUGGCACUAAGUCGUAACAAGGUA